AGAACGAACGCUGGCGGCAGGCCUAACACAUGCAAGUCGAACGCUCGUAGCAAUACGAGAGUGGCAGACGGGUGAGUAACACGUGGGAACCUUCCCUAUGGUUCGGAAUAGCUCAGGGAAACUUGGGGUAAUACCGGAUAAGCCCUUCGGGGGAAAGAUUUAUCGCCAUUGGAUGGGCCCGCGUCGGAUUAGCUAGUUGGUGAGGUAACGGCUCACCAAGGCAACGAUCCGUAGCUGGUCUGAGAGGAUGAUCAGCCACACUGGGACUGAGACACGGCCCAGACUCCUACGGGAGGCAGCAGUGGGGAAUAUGGACAAUGGGCGCAAGCCUGAUCCAGCCAUGCCGCGUGAGUGACGAAGGUCUUCGGAUUGUAAAACUCUUUUGGCGGGACGAUAAUGACGGUACCGCAGAAUAAGACCGGCUAACUUCGUGCCAGCAGCCGC
RNAcentral lists this ribosomal RNA (444 nucleotides) under uncultured bacterium. RNAcentral's name for it is "SSU rRNA". It matches the Rfam family "Bacterial small subunit ribosomal RNA", at positions 26 to 518 of the family's 1533-position model. The record is from RNAcentral.